GCAAGGUUCAAUAGUGUUGGACUUGAAGUAAGUCUUUGAUAAACACUGGGUGGAAGGGGCAUCUCAUUUUGACCCCUACGACCCUUCUUUGAUUGUCCAUCACCAGUGAAAAGUUCCUGAAGUGUUUCCACUGCUACGGUACCCCUAUUAUCAUGCUGCACGCCUCCAAGGACAUUGUCAGAUAACAAAGCAAUAGGGGAUAUGUCAGUAGCCCUCAAGAACGGAAUGGGUACAGUAUUACCCGCUGCAUAAAUGGACCAAAGCUUGUCCUGCAGAGCAAAUGAUUU
Molecule: unclassified non-coding RNA, 287 nt
Filed under: Hevea brasiliensis (rubber tree)
Lineage: Eukaryota; Viridiplantae; Streptophyta; Magnoliopsida; Malpighiales; Euphorbiaceae
Source: RNAcentral